CAUCCUACGGGGGGCAGCAGGAGGGAAUUUUCGUCAAUGGGCGCAAGCCUGAACGAGCAAUGCCGCGUGAACGAGGAAGGUCUUCGGAUCGUAAAGUUCUGUUGAAGGGGAAAAAGAGCGGAGAGAGGAAAUGCUUUCUGAUUGAUAUUACCCUUCGAGGAAGUCACGGCUAACUACGUGCCAGCAGCCGCGGUAAUACGUAGGUGGCGAGCGUUAUCCGGAAUGAUUGGGCGUAAAGGGUGCGUAGGCGGCUUGCUACGUCUGGAGUGAAAGGCACCGGACCAACCGGUACAGGCUCU
Molecule: ribosomal RNA, 299 nt
Filed under: uncultured bacterium
Lineage: Bacteria
Description: partial 16S ribosomal RNA
Rfam family: Bacterial small subunit ribosomal RNA
Source: RNAcentral